CAAAGGUGAGCCAGUACAGGAUGGACCCGCGUCUGAUUAGCUAGUUGGUAAGGUAACGGCUUACCAAGGCGACGAUCAGUAGCCGACCUGAGAGGGUGAUCGGCCACAUUGGAACUGAGACACGGUCCAAACUCCUACGGGAGGCAGCAGUGGGGAAUAUUGCACAAUGGGCGAAAGCCUGAUGCAGCAACGCCGCGUGAGUGAUGAAGGCCUUCGGGUCGUAAAACUCUGUCCUCAAGGAAGAUAAUGACGGUACUUGAGGAGGAAGCCCCGGCUAACUACGUGCCAGCAGCCGCGGUAAUACGUAGGGGGCUAGCGUUAUCCGGAUUUACUGGGCGUAAAGGGUGCGUAGGCGGUCUUUCAAGUCAGGAGUGAAAGGCUACGGCUCAACCGUAGUAAGCUCUUGAAACUGGGAGACUUGAGUGCAGGAGAGGAGAGUGGAAUUCCUAGUGUAGCGGUGAAAUGCGUAGAUAUUAGGAGGAACACCAGUUGCGAAGGCGGCUCUCUGGACUGUAACUGACGCUGAGGCACGAAAGCGUGGGGAGCAAACAGGAUUAGAUACCCUGGUAGUCCACGCUGUAAACGAUGAGUACUAGGUGUCGGGGGUUACCCCCUUC
Molecule: ribosomal RNA, 617 nt
Filed under: uncultured bacterium
Lineage: Bacteria
Description: bacterial SSU rRNA
Rfam family: Bacterial small subunit ribosomal RNA
Source: RNAcentral